GCCCAGUUAGCUCAGUCGGUAGAGCGCAAGGCUUUUAACCUUGUGGUCGGGGGUUCGAGCCCCCCAUUGGGCG
Molecule: transfer RNA, 73 nt
Rfam family: tRNA
About the family: Transfer RNA (tRNA) molecules are approximately 80 nucleotides in length. Their secondary structure includes four short double-helical elements and three loops (D, anti-codon, and T loops).
Source: Rfam